RNAcentral lists this ribosomal RNA (252 nucleotides) under uncultured bacterium. RNAcentral describes it as "partial 16S ribosomal RNA". It matches the Rfam family "Bacterial small subunit ribosomal RNA", at positions 524 to 776 of the family's 1533-position model. The record is from RNAcentral.
UACGGAGGGUGCAAGCGUUAUCCGGAUUCACUGGGUUUAAAGGGUGCGUAGGUGGGUUGGUAAGUCAGUGGUGAAAUCCCGAGCUUAACUUGGGAACUGCCAUUGAUACUAUCAGUCUUGAAUACCGUGGAGGUCAGCGGAAUAUGUCAUGUAGCGGUGAAAUGCUUAGAUAUGACAUAGAACACCAAUUGCGAAGGCAGCUGGCUACACGAAUAUUGACACUGAGGCACGAAAGCGUGGGGAUCAAACAGG